GGUGCCUUGGUCGAGUGGUUAGGCAACGGCCUGCAAAGCCGCGUACACCGGUUCGAAUCCGGUAGGCACCU
RNAcentral lists this transfer RNA (71 nucleotides) under Candidatus Ancillula hodotermitis. RNAcentral describes it as "tRNA-Cys". It matches the Rfam family "tRNA". Rfam says of the family: Transfer RNA (tRNA) molecules are approximately 80 nucleotides in length. Their secondary structure includes four short double-helical elements and three loops (D, anti-codon, and T loops). Further hydrogen bonds mediate the characteristic L-shaped molecular structure. tRNAs have two regions of fundamental functional importance: the anti-codon, which is responsible for specific mRNA codon recognition, and the 3' end, to which the tRNAs corresponding amino acid is attached (by aminoacyl-tRNA synthetases). tRNAs cope with the degeneracy of the genetic code in two manners: having more than one tRNA (with a specific anti-codon) for a particular amino acid; and 'wobble' base-pairing, i.e. permitting non-standard base-pairing at the 3rd anti-codon position. Lineage: Bacteria; Bacillati; Actinomycetota; Actinomycetes; Bifidobacteriales; Bifidobacteriaceae. The record is from RNAcentral.